GGUGGCUCAGUGGCAGAGCACAUGCCUUCCAUGCAUGAGGCCCUGGGUUCAAUCCCCAGCACCA
This is a non-coding RNA of Erinaceus europaeus (western European hedgehog), 64 nucleotides long. Lineage: Eukaryota; Metazoa; Chordata; Mammalia; Eulipotyphla; Erinaceidae. The record is from Rfam.